This 347-nucleotide ribosomal RNA is filed under the name uncultured bacterium. Its description in RNAcentral is "partial 16S ribosomal RNA". It matches the Rfam family "Bacterial small subunit ribosomal RNA", at positions 338 to 682 of the family's 1533-position model. The record is from RNAcentral.
CCUACGGGAGGCUGCAGUGAGGAAUAUUGGUCAAUGGACGAGAGUCUGAACCAGCCAAGUAGCGUGAAGGAUGACUGCCCUAUGGGUUGUAAACUGCUUUUAUAGGGGAAUAAAAUGUGCCACGUGUGGGAUUUUGUAUGUACCAUAUGAAUAAGGAUCGGCUAACUCCGUGCCAGCAGCCGCGGUAAUACGGAGGAGCCGAGCGUUAUCCGGAUUUAUUGGGGUUAAAGGGAGCGUAGGUGGAUUGUUAAGUCAGUUGUGAAAGUUUGCGGCUCAACCGUAAAAUUGCAGUUGAAACGGGCAGUCUUGAGUACAGUAGAGGUGGGCGGAAUUCGUUGUGUCGCGUU